UGGCUCUCAAUCAACAUUAGUCGUUCGCAAUACUGCGGAUCCUGAGUGUCACGACCCAAUUCCCGAACCCGAUCGUGAUAGCGCCUCUCAUGAAGACAAGGACAAGCAGACCUAAAUAGAACGUUUCUUUUAAAUAGCUAAAUAGCAUAAAUAGUUAUAAAACAUGAUCGGAUAGCCAUAAUUUGUGAAAAUAAUGGUAACAAUAGUAGAAGCCAUCCCAACACAGCCCAAACCGGGGUGUCACAAGUCAUGAAUAGCUAAGAAAUCCCAGUGCAAGUAUACAAAACACUGAAUUUGAUACAAAAGUUCUACAAAACAUGAAAUGAUAAGAUAAGGGAGGCACGGGGGCUACAGACGUCAAUAGCUACCUUGUGGUCUCCAAAUCACUGCCUGGACUAGGAGGAUCAGCACUCAGGAGCGGACUCUGCGAUGCCUGAAUUUGCACACACGGUGUAGGGAGUAAUGUGAGUACUCCAACCCAGUGUGUAAUAAUUAUAAAUAAUGGCUGAAAGCAUGAAAAUACGUAAAGGCACAAAGAAAUUCUAUAUCAAAGUAGUAAAAUUACUUAAAGCAGUAAAACAAUGAAGAAUCAAAUGAAAACCCUUUAAAACAAGUAAGAAAAGGUAAUUUAAUAGGUAAAUAGCAAAUAGAAACCCGCCCCGCUGGCACAGUAUCAAUCUCUCAGAACAGUAUCAGCCCCUCGUGCUCACUCUCAGUACAAUAUCAGCUCCUCAGGCUCAAUCUCAUAUCAUAUGGGUACCCCACGCUCACUGUGAGUGUGUAGACUCUGGAGGGGCUCAUUACGGCCCAAGCGCUAUAUCAAGCCACCUCGUGGCAUCAUCUCUCGGCACUCGGCCACACAUCACUCGGCACUCAUCCUCACAUCUCUCAAGCAACCUCAUGGCAUAUAAAUGUAUCUCAGACCCUCGGCCUCAUGUCACUCGGUAUAUCUGCUGAUGCCCCGUUUUUCUAAAGCGAUAAAUAUAUCACUCGAAAUUGGGUAUACAAAAUUUGGGAGGACAACUCUAUUCAAUUUCGAGAAUUGGGUUUUUGGAGUUUUCAGAGUCACCACCUAAUGAUAAUAGUGCAUUAGGUAACCUUUUUAAGAAGAAUUUGAGAUGAAGAAACCAGAGUUUGGGUAAGGACUAGAAAUUAUCGCGAGGGAAAGGUGUUAGGCACCCCUCAAGAUCCACUAGUGUGGUUCCCGGUCAUACUACAUUUGUGACUUUAAACAAUAAGGAAACAAAUAAAAGUAUCAAGUAGAGGGGUUUUCACAUAACAUUGCAAAUAAGUUUAAGAGUUUGAAAAGAAAAAGAAUAGAAAGUUUAAAAAAAAGUAAUUUUGAACAACUUAAAGAAGAGUAACAGGUAAAAGGGAAAGGGGGUCCUAGGUUUGCAAAUAAUAUGGAUCACAUCAAUGUAAUACCCGGUGUACACUCCUGAAAGAGGGGUCGCUCAUGAUAUUCGAGACUACUAAUCCUAAAGGGAAAGGGAAUUUGGGGUCUUUUAAGAGUUCUCAAAGGAUAAAAUACUAAGGCGACAUUUAAAACACGUACUGCAGAUAUGGGUAAACAAGCUAACAAAUAGGGCUCAAGCAAGCCUCCUUAAAUCACAUUAGUUUAUCAUGUCUUUCACGUACUGGUUUGGUCUUGAUUAAAUUAAAGCAAUAUGCAGAAUGGUUCAACACAUAGUUUUAGAUAAAAAGUCCAUAUUCGGUCCGCUCGAAUGCAGUUUUCAAAGACUGACCCAAUUGAUUAACUAGCCAACCUUUUAUCUAUGUGUCGAAUAGAACUACUGAUUUCGAAAAGCAAACUGAUGAUAAAAGAAUUACCAGUUUUGUCAGAGUAAAAUAGGUUUUAGUAAAGGUGCAGAUUUGUUAUAGAAAAUUGUUUAUCAACUUUAUCAGAAGGAAAUAAGUUUCAGAAAAGAAUGCACUGAUUUGAAAAUGGUUUUACCAGAAUGAAACAAAUUUCAGAAGAAAUGCAGACUGAUUAGAAAAGGGUUUGCCAAUUUUAUCAGAAAGAAAUGAGUUUCAGAAAAAUAUGCAGGAGAUUACCAGUUUUACCAAAAUAGAUAGGACUUUCAGCAGUUUAUAUUGUUUUAAACGGAUGAAACAGUUUCAAAUUCAAGAUUUCCUACAUGCAUGCUUUCUAUAUGUUUACUGAUUUUAACACUUUUCAGGUUUUAAUUAAAUACUUAUGAACAUGAUAUCUAUAUGCAGAUUCAUUAUUAAACCUACAAAUGGUUUGCCUAAUGAUUGUUAUAUAUGCCGAAAUGCAAGAGCCUAUAGACAUGAUAUCUAUAUGUUUAACUGUAGAAAUCAAAAGUUAAACCCCUAUAGGCAUGCUUUCUACCCUUUGUCCAUAAAAUAAAUCCCCUCCCAUGUCUACUAAAUCCCCAUGACUGUAUUACAAAUUAUUACAAAUCGAUAAGCCAAACUGAAAAUAAAAAGUACAUAAGAAACUACAGCUACAUACGAGAGACCUAAUUAGAACUUAGUGUCUAACAAUAUGAGAAAAACAACUUCCGAGAUCAAGAUUUCCAAAGCCUUCUCUUAUAUAGGUUAUUUCAAAGUUCAAAGGAGUUUUAGGAACUCUGGGUAGUGCUUACAUCCCUAAUAUCGAUUAGAAUGAAUCAAAGUGCAGUGUUGAAGGGCCAGCCCUUGAUUGUCCAAGUUUAGAGGGAACUCAUGAGUCCCAAGGAAAGGCUCACAAGAGGGGUGUGGAACUUAAAUUCUAGGAACAAGUGCAAUUGCAAUAGAAAGGGUCAAGGAGUGCCAAUGCAGGCUGGUAGUCAUGCCCAGCCAAAUGAUAGGCUAGCACACCCCUGAACAGCCUGUCAGCAGAUCAAAUAGGAGUAAGGACCUAUUGAAGGUCUGACCAGGGCGGUAGAUAGUGAUUAAGACACUGUCAGACCAAAGUCUUAAACUCAACAUACAUAUAAAAGGGAAUGAGGAUGGGAAUUGAAAGAGUUUAUGACUCUAGAGGGUCCAGUUCAUGUCCAUGGACAAUAAUAUCAAGUAUUGCCAUGAUUUUGAACCAUAAUGCGACCACAUAGAGGGAUUAAGGUUUGGGUUUCAUGUAAGAACAGGAAAAGUGAAAGUAAAACUUGCAGAAAGUUACAACACGUAGAAAAUAAAUCAAAAAACGAAUAUAACAUAGAAUAAACACAUAGGGGAGAGGCAGGAAUUAAACAUAAAAACAUACCAGUUGAAGAAAACGCACGAGCAUAAUACAGACAAACAUAUAAAAGAAAAUAACAGCAGUCAAAAGACUUUCAGAAACCCUAAUUCGAAAUCGAAUGCUUUUUGAGAAGGAAAUUUGGGGAAAACACUCAAAACGUCAAAAGGAACAUAGACAUAGCAUAGAUCUAAAAAAAUAAUGGUGAACGACCCUCGAAUGUCUUAGGCUUUCAGAAAAACCCUAGAAUUGAGAAAGUAUAGAAAGAACAAGAUCAGAUCCUGAGUCGAAAUGGUCAGGAAUAAAGCUUCCAGCACUUGACCAUGCAGGAGCAUGGCCGAAAAACCAUAGACUUACGAAUUUGAGGCGGAUCUGAAAAGAGACAAUAAAGGUCAUGCCUCCAAACCUUGAGUAGCUUAGGCUCAGGGGUGAUAGAGCGUAAGCACAGGCCAUUCAUGGCUGGAGAUGCCAUGGAUUCUGGUGGGAAUGAGGUAAGAUAAGGCAGGAGGUUAUUAGGGUUUAGGAGCGGAUAAAGAGCGUUUCAGAGAUGAAGACUUUCAAGGGUGGCGCGUUUGUGCAAAUGAGGUAGGGUUAGGUGGGUUAUGG
This 3784-nucleotide long non-coding RNA is filed under the name Nicotiana benthamiana. RNAcentral's name for it is "long non-coding RNA (NBEN_LNC008514)". Lineage: Eukaryota; Viridiplantae; Streptophyta; Magnoliopsida; Solanales; Solanaceae. The record is from RNAcentral.